RNAcentral lists this ribosomal RNA (270 nucleotides) under uncultured bacterium. RNAcentral's name for it is "partial 16S ribosomal RNA". It matches the Rfam family "Bacterial small subunit ribosomal RNA", at positions 83 to 354 of the family's 1533-position model. The record is from RNAcentral.
CUCCGCCGGCGACCGGCGCACGGGUGAGUAACGCGUAUGCAACCUACCUGUAACAGGGGGAUAACACUGAGAAAUCGGUACUAAUACCGCAUAACACUAUGAGAGGCAUCUCUUGUGGUUGAAAGUUUCGGCGGUUACAGAUGGGCAUGCGUUGUAUUAGCUGGUUGGUAAGGUAACGGCUUACCAAGGCGACGAUACAUAGGGGGACUGAGAGGUUAACCCCCCACAUUGGUACUGAGACACGGACCAAACUCCUACGGAAGGCAGCAG